AAAUAGUACUUUGCAGAGAGAGUUAACAGGGCGUGAAACCGUUAAUUGGCAAACGAAUCGGAGCCACGAAGUCGCUCUUUUGACCCAAAAGGUCCCUAUGAGCGUACACUGCAACCAGUUAGACAAUUAACCAUGGGCUUAGAUGUCCGAGUUAGUAGUAGUGCGGCGUGGUCCUGUACUGCGUUGUAUUGCUGGGCUCGUGGCAAGUGAACUAUGGUUAAACACUGACUGGCUUACUGAAACAUAUCGCAAGAUAUAAUAACAACACCAAUCUCUUGCAUUAUCAUCUACACACUCGACCAUGAGGUUCAAGCUCAGCAUUUUUGAAUUUGGACUUGCUUGCUACCAGUGGGGCAACUCCUGGUGCUUGUAUAGCUUUCAUCUAAUCGGGUGUUGACUUAAUCUUGUGUUGUUUUAGUGUGAAUCGUUUGGGUAGUAAUGUACUUAGAUUGGUUGAUGAUUCGCAGUGAGUAGGUCGGCUUUCCGAACGACCCGUCUUGAAACACGGACCAAGGAGUCUAAUUAGGCAUCGAGUCGAUCGGUCUUGAAUAGGCCAGUAAAUGGUGGAUCCACCAAGUGAAGGCAAAGAGACAAUCAUGUGAUCGAUGGUUUACAACAACCUGCGCGCGCAACAUGUGCCUGUUCGUAUAACAAUGUACCUAAAAUUGUUGAGCGGAGCAAGGAGAUGCUUGAUUGGUACCCGAAAGAUGGUGAUGCUUGGGCAAAUUGAAGCCAGAGGAAACUCUGGUGGAGGAUUGUAGCGAUUCUGACGUGCAAAUCGAUCGUCAGACCUGAGUAUAGGGGCGAAAGACUAAUCGAACCAUC
This 825-nucleotide ribosomal RNA is filed under the name Epitrimerus sp. AH25 1. RNAcentral describes it as "partial large subunit ribosomal RNA". It matches the Rfam family "Eukaryotic large subunit ribosomal RNA", at positions 366 to 944 of the family's 3401-position model. Lineage: Eukaryota; Metazoa; Arthropoda; Arachnida; Trombidiformes; Eriophyidae. The record is from RNAcentral.